Mustela putorius furo (domestic ferret) is the source of this 102-nucleotide unclassified non-coding RNA. It matches the Rfam family "Y RNA". From Rfam's summary of the family: Y RNAs are components of the Ro ribonucleoprotein particle (Ro RNP), in association with Ro60 and La proteins. The Y RNAs and Ro60 and La proteins are well conserved, but the function of the Ro RNP is not known. Lineage: Eukaryota; Metazoa; Chordata; Mammalia; Carnivora; Mustelidae. The record is from Ensembl.
GGCUGGUCUGAGUGCUGUAGUGUUCAUAAUUAAUUGAUCACAGCCAGUUACAGAUUUCUUUUUUCCUUCUCUACUCCCACUGAUUCCCUUGACUAGUCUUAA